GAUGAACGCUGGCGGCGUGCUUAACACAUGCAAGUCGAACGGAAAGGCCUCUUUCGGGGUUUUCUCGUGUUGCCAACGGGUGGGUAACACGUACGUAGCCUGCCUUUCUCUUUGGGUUAACUUCAGGCAACUGGGCCUAAUUCCGGCUAGAUGCUCCUUCUGCCUGGUUGGGGUUGGAAUGUUUCGGCGUCUGGCGGUGGCUUCGCGGUUUAUCCGCUCUUUGUUGGGUUGUUGGUUUACCAAGGCUUUGCCGGGUAGCCGGACUGUGAGGGUGAUCGGCGACAUUGGGACUGAGAGACGGCCCAGACUGCUAAGGGAGGGAGAAGUGGGGAAGAUUGCACAAUGGGUGGAAGCCUGAUGCAGCAAGGCCGUGUGCGGGAUGACGGCCUUCGGGUUGUAGACCGCUUUCGCUCAUGACGAAGCUUUGUGUGACGGUAGUGGGUAAAGAAGCACCGGCUAACUACGUG
This 467-nucleotide ribosomal RNA is filed under the name uncultured bacterium. RNAcentral's name for it is "partial 16S ribosomal RNA". It matches the Rfam family "Bacterial small subunit ribosomal RNA", at positions 28 to 507 of the family's 1533-position model. The record is from RNAcentral.